This 506-nucleotide ribosomal RNA is filed under the name uncultured bacterium. RNAcentral's name for it is "partial 16S ribosomal RNA". It matches the Rfam family "Bacterial small subunit ribosomal RNA", at positions 28 to 523 of the family's 1533-position model. The record is from RNAcentral.
GAUGAACGCUAGCUACAGGCUUAACACAUGCAAGUCGAGGGGUAACAAGAGAAAAGCUUGCUUUUCUUGUUGACGGCCGGCGCACGGGUGAGUAACGCGUAUCCAACCUGCCUAUAACUAGGGAAUAACCUUGCGAAAGUAAGACUAAUACCCUAUGAUUUCCUUUGAUGACAUCAGAUUAGGACUAAAGAUUUAUCGGUUAUAGAUGGGGAUGCGUCUGAUUAGCUUGUUGGCGGGGUAACGGCCCACCAAGGCAACGAUCAGUAGGGGUUCUGAGAGGAAGGUCCCCCACAUUGGAACUGAGACACGGUCCAAACUCCUACGGGAGGCAGCAGUGAGGAAUAUUGGUCAAUGGGCGGAAGCCUGAACCAGCCAAGUAGCGUGCAGGAUGACGGCCCUAUGGGUUGUAAACUGCUUUUAUACAGGAAUAAAGUUAGCCACGUGUGGUUAUUUGUAGGUACUGUAUGGAUAAGGGCCGGCUAAUUCCGUGCCAGCAGCCGCCGUAG